Molecule: RNA transcript, 25722 nt
Organism: Gallus gallus (chicken)
Lineage: Eukaryota; Metazoa; Chordata; Aves; Galliformes; Phasianidae
Gene: ZSWIM8
Gene name: zinc finger SWIM-type containing 8
Exons: 31
Source: RefSeq, marked validated
UCCAAGCCUGAGUGCUACAUCAGCUCAAACACAGUGCUGUCACACCUCUAGUUUAACCUGGUUUGAACUUCUAGCUUAUACUCAUAACCCCAACAGGCUUAGAAAUAUAAAAAGGAUUGAAGGUUUUUUCCCUAAGCCUACUUAACUCGUUGGCCUUUCAAGAGUUAGAAAAAAUGCCCAUGCGACAUAAGUGAGACACAGACCUGGCACUGUAUUCUGUGAUUCUCAUGUUCCAAUUCAAAAUAUUUCCCCUGGAUUUUGUCACCAUGAAAGCUGUGAGAAUCACUGUAGUUAACAUUCUGUGAGUCCUGCAUGAGCCAGGAGGAAGGGAGGAAGUAUCUCACCUAGUUUUACACCUUACUUGUGCUAAGCAAACCUGCAAACAUGCUUCUGAGUUGUCCUAACCUGUUUCAGAACAUCACUGUUGCUCUUUGUGGCCCAAUCCAAUUGGUUACCACAUGCCUUGCCACCAGGGCUUACUGGAAUUAUCUGAUCAGAAGACCAGCACUCGGCCACUCCGGAGUUGUAUUUUGUUCCUGAUGUUGGCCAACAGCGGACGUUCCAAAGGACAGUGCAUGUGCAUUUGUACUGAACAAGUUUUAACAGGCUUUUUUUUUUUUUUCUGGGAAAUUUUGUUCUUGGACCAUUUAUGUUAAUUACUUGCAUUACUAUCACUGUCCAAAUUAAAAGUACUGGUAUUGUCCUUCCAGGUAUUGCUCAAACGCUGUGAGCUAUUCUUUCAUGAUUUUUUUUUCCUGAAGUAUCAGUGUUUAUAUCCCAAACUUAAAAAAAUAACAAAUUGUUUAUUGUAAACAUCCUUUGUCUUUCACAUAAAUGUUUAAUCUCUUAUUUAAUCCAGCUAAGCUCUACAGCUUCAGUACUUUCUGACAAUGAGAACUAAUAUAAUUUCAUUCUCCACAGUACAUUUUUGUUUUUACAGAUCCUGAAUGAAAUGCCUUUUGUUUUUCCCAAAUCCCACCUAUCCUCGUGUUCUCAACUAUGAGAGGAAAUAAGAGGCCUUGCUUUAUAUUGUUGUCCAUUAUGCUACAGUCUGGUGAAAACUGUGGUUUCUCUGUCUCUCUUCAAUCCAAACUGCCUAGGUACCUGAUAACAUACGAGCUGUCUCUCCAUGCCUUCUCUUUCUGCUGAGUCUUUAAGCUUUGGUAACCAGAACUGAAAACGGUUUGUGAGGGGAAGAUGUGCCAUCUGCUGAUUACUUUCAGUAUUUUCAACAGUGGGCAGUGCUGUAGGUGUUCAGUGCUAUGUGUGUGUUAUGUAUGUAUGCUAGCUUUGAACUUGCCGGUGUGGUUUUAGUGGCAGCCCACCUACAGCAAGGUGAAAACCGACCAAGGUUAAUUCACCCAGUGUCUCUGGCAGGUGCAGCAGCCCCUCCGAGCUCAGCCAGCUGCUGUAGGAAUAUCUGUGGAGCAGAUCGUGGCUCUGGGGAGGAGGUACCUGAUGAGCCCUUAGCAGCAUUUGUUGUCUCGUUGAGGCUGAUGCCCAUGCUUCCCUUCCAGGAACUGACAGUUCAGUUACCGGCAUCUGUGAUGCGCUGUGGGGACGCUUUGUGAGACAAGUUCCUGCAGUAGUGUGGUGCACGUAGGUUGAAUGAGAAACAGUGCUACUGUGACUGGGGAGCAUUUGUUAAAUAGAGUGUCUAAGGAGCACCUAUUAAUGCUUCUGUUAGCCCUCUUCCUUCAAGAAUACCCUGGUGCUCUACAAAGGCUGACCCAGUGCUGGUGCCUUCCUGCCCUGUGGGGGCUGCAUGGGUGCCCUCAUCAGCCCUGUCUUGACAACAGCCCAGGCUUUGGCCAGCUGAAGCUGGAUUAAAGAUUUAUCCCUUUCCUGUAGCUGAGUGCUUUUCAGAUGGUAUAUAAGAAUUAUGUUCCAUGCUGUAAUUAAUCAGGCAGCUGUUUAUGAACCUGGACAGGAUUUCAAUUACUCCUGUAAUCCUUGUACCUUUGCAGCUGAGAAUAACAAAUCGCUUCCUCAAAGGUAUUAGUGGAGGGAUUGGUUAGGAAACAGGAACAUGGGUAUUUGCUGUCUAAAGGAUAGGAAAACUGGGUCUGCUUUGUGUCUGUUUGCCUUACUUUCUGAAGCCAAUAUCCUGAAGUCUCUUCACCCCCAAAGUAACUGUGGUGAUCCAUCAACCACUUAAAGACAAUUUUUAUGUAUAUGAGAGGAAGGUUUUUAGUAGAUGAACAGCAGUGCAAUACGUGACAUCAUCUUGAUAGCUUUUCUAGGAGUUCCUUGCAGCUAGAGAAUGUGGGUAUGGGAAUAGAACACUCAGGUGUUCUGGUUACUGGUGGUAACUAGCCUGGAACUGCUCCCAGUGGGAUGAGGGACUGUGACCUGGAGCAACGGCUUGGGCUAUGUUUUUACUUAUUCAAGAAAAUACUUAAUUCCCCACAUCAAGAAGGAACAUUUGUUCAGCCCACUCAGUUCUAUUAAAACCCCUUUCUACUAACAAGGGCCUGAGUAGCUCUGAAAUCAGUCUAGAGCCAAAACUGUCACAUCCCCUGGAUCAAAACCAAUGACUCACAAGAUAUGCUAAUAAAUUAAUUGUGCUGUGGCUGUGUGGGGCUCUGUUUUAUUUUUAGUACAGGAACCUGUUCCAAGGGCAGGUUUUAGGAUUUUUUUUUUCAGCACUGAAUUAUGCUAAUUAAAUUUUUGUAUUAAUGUUAUUUGUAGAGGAGCUUUAAUAUGUGAAAGAAUGUUACAAAGUCAGUGAUCCUAUUAGCUGCCAUUAAAAUGCAACACAACAGCUCUUCAAAUGUCACAUUUUGUGGCCAUUUGGAACAGGUGGAGCGCAUCUACAGAUGAACUCAUGCUCAAAGUGAACAGGAUUUGAUAUAUCAGCUUCUUAAUUCAUUGUUAUUGUUGAUCUUUACAUGCUACUUUUGAAUAAACUUGUUCAGCAUGAAUUUGUCUCAUUUGACGCUAGGACUCAUGUAUCACCAAGUGAAGGACCAAAGCCAAAUUUUGGAUAAGUGGAAGCAGGAAGAAUGAAACGCAACCUGAUUGAGGUGCUAACGUGAGAACGCUGUUCUCCUCCUCCCCUUUCCCUCCCUCCCCUCCAAAGCUGAAAUUGUACUGCUAUAUAAAAGGUCUGUUUAUAAAAGCAACUCACUGACUGCUCCAGCGACUUUCUCAAGUUGUUAGGGUUAGACUGGGGUUUGAUGUGGUGAUGGCUGCAGACACAAAAUAUUGUAGCAUAUAAUUUCUUGUGCAUGCUGUCUCCAGCCUCCUGUUGGGAACCAAUGUGCACUCGCUGAAGAGAGAGCUGCUUGUGGUUAACACCUCCCUUGCUUCAUGUUUGACUUUGAGGUUUUCUACGCCUACAUGUUUCUGCUGCUGAUUGUGUGAAGCUUGAGAGCUCAUGGCUGAAGUUUUGCAAGAGUGCCUGGUGUGCGCAUAUCAGUGAGCAAAGCAGAGUUAUGGGCAUUUAAGGGGCCAUGUGCACUGUUUCACCAAGUAAGCUCCAAAGUACAUAAUGCUUGGGAAAGAAAAAGUUGAAACUGAAGUUAAUGUUACAAGUCUGUCAGGUCUCUUAUUGUGUAUUGAAGCACUUGACUGCUGCCUUCAUAUUGUGAAGAAAAGAGUACAGCAUUAGCUUACUUCUGGUAGAUUGACAGCUGUAGGAUAGUUGGCUUUGGAUUUUGAGACUGAAGUAGGAAGUCGGGAGGAAAUAGGGUUUUAUUCCAUGCAAUAUUCUAACUGCGAUAGCUUCCAUACUCCUUAAGUGAGGAAGACGAGCAUUCAGGUGUCAUCACUGACAUUAAAAAAAAAUAUCUUAUUGGGUUCAAGUUCCUCUUUAUACUAGAGAGAAGACAGUGUGCUGCUCAGGCAGCCUUGGAUUGCUGGGCUGGAUGCUGUGCCACUUUUAACAAAACUGAUUUGUCCACAGGGGGAUACCUAGCAUUGGUUAGAGAUUUGCUAUAGGAUCAUGUUUAUGUGUGAAAGUGAAGAGAAAAAGCAGAGUUAGCAGAAUAGAUCCUUGAGUAAGUGGAUGAUCCAUCUACAGCCAUUUCUAUUUAGAAAAACCCAUGGAUUUAGCAGGUGCGAAUGGGACAGGAGUAGAACUGACCAAUUCCAAGAAAUGAGUGAAACCCCACUGCACCACCUGAUCUUCCCCUCUCUGCUUUUCAAAUCCCUCAAAUUCUGCCAGAAAUGAAUGGCACCUUUCUCUUCACAGAUUUUCGAAACUAGGAGAGCGAGCUGCAUUGGAUUAGCCUUACCAAAACAGAUGUGGUGCUGCUCUGCCAUCAGCAAAACAAAAGGCCUUGUUCAUCCUGUUUGUAUCUUUGCAGGCCUUCACACGGACAUCAAGGCAGCUUUAGCUCAAAGGCCCAAGCAGGAAAGAGCUGUAACUCAAUGCUGUGUUCACAUUGACUUGUUGCCCAACAGGAGAAACAAACCGGCAGGAAUUAAAUAUGCAUUCAAUGAAUCCUGCUGUGAAGUGUUUGUUAGCACGCCAACAUCCCAUGGCCACAUCAGCCUGUGUCUCAGGACCCAGCAGUGGGUAGCUGUCACGUAUUUCCAUUAAAAGAGAUCAUGCAGAGAGUUGCUGUCACACUUGCGUGACGUUCUAGCCUGGGCAGAGGACCCUCCUCACCGUGAAGGUAAAGACUGUGGGAAAGAUUGGUGGUGGAAAUGUAACUGGAGAACUGGGCUGAAACCCAUUAAAAAGUUUACAUUUCUUUAUUUCUUUCUCAAAAGCAGAACAAAAUCCCCCUGGAACAGCAACAAAAAACAAAAACAAACAAACAAAAAACCCCAAAGCACCAAGCUGCUUCUUUGCAGCUUAAUUAAUCUGCUUUGUUUAAAACUGAGCUGUAUGCAAAGAAGAAAAUGUGCUUCUAAUGGCUAUUUCUUUACUCUUUUCCCACUACCCUCCUGCAUGUACAGGCUUGCUAGAAAGAAAGUAGGAUUAUAACCACUGAUUGUGGGAUUGAGACCUGUUUAAGAGAGGACAAGUGAACUAUUCAGAUGACUGCACAUUGUGUUUGUGGAACCAAGCACACCAGAGAAAAGCUUUUACUUUAGGUUGGUUAUUUCACUAUCUCCAGCGAGACUAAGGAUAGGGAGCUUCUGUGAUUCAGUGCAACUUUUGAGAUCUCAGCAGAAACCCUUUAAACUCUCCAAAUAUUUAGACCAAAGCUUGAUUAAGACUUGAGAAAUCUUUAUUGUCAUAACAUGCUUGUCUGUGUGAUUACAGGGGCUUAAUGCUUCUAUUUGGGCUGAUGAAGUUUUGCUUCAAUGUGGUGUAGGUAGGCAAAGGGAGUGCACUGUUUGCAUUGGGUGGCUCUGCUCAGUAGAAGCAGGAGAGUCCUUGUGUGCAAGAUGCUUCAUGAAAUACAGUGCAUGCUUUUAUUCUUUAAAUUCAUACUUUUUAUUCUCAGUAAAUAUAAUUUGCUAGAUUCACCAUCAAUUGAGAGAGCAGUCGUGGUGAUAGAAUUACACAAAUCUGUUUUUCUUACCCAGAGAAGAUGUGAGGUUACUUAGGGAAUGGCAUUAAAGCUUUGGACAGCGAAUUUACAGGAAUUUGUCACAGCAUUUUGCAGGUACAUGGCUGAAAGUGGAGAUCUGCCUAAAAAAGAUAGUAGCCUCUGAGUCAGCUCAUAGAACAAACAGCUGUCAGUACCUGUCACAGUCUGGCCACAUACUUAGAGAAGAAAGCUGAAAAUAGAAGCAGCUGAUGUAGUCUAGGAUCCCCAAAUCUCCCAAGGGAGGAGGAAUCCAAUUCAAAGAGCUUGCUUCCUGGAUGGAUGUGGUCUAUGACACCUGCAGGCUAAAAACAAGGAUGAGAAAAACACUAUGAGAAUCCACAUUAUUUUAACAGUCAAUUGGUUUGUUCUACAGAGCACUCUGCAGUAGAUCCUACUUUGUCAAUUAGGUUUAAGACAAAAUACUUUCUCCCUCACUUCCUACUGAAACAGAAAAGGUAGAGCCAGGUACAGCAGCCCAGGUAAUUUUCAGUCAUUGUGUCUUGCAUGGUAUUUUUGUUAUUGUCUCCUCCAAAUGCACAAAAGAGGCCAGUUAAACUUUACAUAUUUACAUUAUUUCAGCUAGCCAAGAUCUGCUUAUGUGCUUUGCAGAAUAGCAUUUAUUGGUCUUGAUGUGAAAAAGUAGACAUCCUUUUUCUCCCCAACAGUGAUCUUCUACAUACCAGUCAGCUGACUGCACUCUUAACAGCACAUACAGAAACUGGCUUCUACAGCAAAGACAUGUUGAGAGUCAGCUACAGUAACACCUCUAUUUUUUUUUUCCCUUUGAUUACAAUUUUUGAUUGGUAUAACUGCAGAUUGAUAGAGAAAGAAUACCAUAUUUAGGAACUUUGCUUAUGUAUUUCUUGGCAGACUGAAACAAAACUAAGCUGGGGAAUUAAUAUCUCCUUUUCAGAUUUUUUAGGAAGCUUUCAAGUCAGUUAGGUAGUAGAUAGAGUCUGAUAUCUGCUAGAUAGGGUAAUACUCCCUCUAAACAAACUGACUUAACAAUUGCUAAGUUUCUGUCAAUGUGGAAUCAAACAUAUCACCCACAAAAGACAGAUGAGUGCUUUCAUUUUUUUUUUCCACUGUAGCUGUGGAGAUGUCCAAAUGUGGGCUCAACUUCAAAAAAAAAAAAAAAAAAAAAAAAAGAGCCAGCAGUGUAACCGUUGCUUUCUCUGAGAAAUGAAGAGCAUCCCUUUUCAGUUCCUUUUGGGUUGAUUCUUCUCCUUUCCUUUAUCUGUGAAUUUAUGUUGCAUAUGAGAUAUUGCUAGACAGCUUGGUAAUGACGGAAUGAACAAAGCGUGAGAAAGAAAACUUAUGCUCCUGUAGACUAUUGCAAAGGGAAGAAGAAUCUAUAGUUGCAAUCUGCAAAAUGCAGGAGGGCAGACUAAUCCUUACAGGCAUUGUUAUGUGUAAGCUGCAUCUUAUGCUUUCUGAGGCAUAAUUGUUAUGUUCAUACAUGAGAUCUUAGCUGUAAUUGUAGUCUCUUGCGCUAUAACAAUAAUUUUAACAGCUGUUGCAAAGUGUUCCUUUAAUGACCCCAUUUUCCAUGUAUGGACCAAUGACUCAUCUCACAAAUAGUAAAUUCAUUAUUUAAUAAAGCUUUAAUAUCAGGCAUAUGUUCCAGUUAUAUAAGAUUCCAAAGAGAGAAACAGUGAUGCUAUCAGUUCAAAUUCUCAUGUGAUAAGGGUUAGCCCAAAACUGGAAACUGCUCAAUACAAAUGGACAAAGCUUUUUUCUCCCAGAGCUUCUGUUUCUCAGGGUAGCUUUGUUUCAGCUUCAUGGUAUUCCGUGUCUGAGGAAGCUGUGUACAUUUUGCAGAGGCACUUGUGCAUUAGAUGCAGAGCAACGGAAACAAGCUGUGUGCUCUCCCUUCUAAUGUGCUAAAACGCUAUUUGCUCCAUCUCUUCUUCAAUCCCAGUGCUGUGAGAUAAAUAUCAAUGGCAGUUGGUUGUGAUUUAUCUGGAGAUAUUUAUUCUUAAUAGCAAUUGCUAUAUCAUGAAACAGUAAUCUUCUAGAAGUGAUUUUGCAAAACAGACUAUCACUUUCCAAGGAACAGGAAUUUAAGAUACAAAAAUGCAUCAGCCAUUUUCCAUAGUGUCAUAGUGCCUGAGCACAAGAAGCUAUUCUUCUGCACAUUCCGUGCUUUACUGGGAACAGAGCCAUAUGUGUGCUUUAAAAAUGUGCCUUUGCUUGUCAUUUCUGACUGCAUUACUGCAUGUGAAAAGGCGAUGAAAUCUUGCAGAGUCAGAAUGUUGCUGAACAGCUGGGCCCCAUUGCAUUAGCAGUGAUAAAAUCUCAGGAGUGCUUUACUUUGUUAUUGAGUCCAUGUUAGAUUCCAGCCAUAGCAAGGAUGUGUUUUACUUUCCAUGCGAUUAGAAAUAAAGGCACACUGGAUCUGACUCGUAGAGUAUCACGUGACACAUCAGUGAAAAGCAGACACUUCUGGGGUGCAGUGCAGACUCUUUGAUUUCUAGUCCCCAAUGAGAGCUUAAAACUGGAAACAAAUGUAAAUGUUGCAAUUCUGCUGCGGGGUAUUUGUGAGUGCUUGUCUCUCUAAAAUGAGAAAUGCUGCUUUCUGAAAAUUGUGUGUAAUGCAGGCAAAGGAAUUUUGAACAAGUAAUUUUACUCCUCUGAAAUAAAAGAGGAAUCAAAAAAGUAUACCCCUGUAUGGGAGACACCAUCCUAGUGGCAGCCUUGUCAUCUCUGCAGGAUUCCCUAUUGGAUUUCUUUCUUCCCAGCAGAGCACUUUUGAAAUUGUCAGAUACUAUUUUUCAUGGCCUCUUCAUCACUGCCUAUAGUUUCUGUCUGUUGGGAGAUCCACAAGGGAACAUACAUGCCUGAGUCAUGCAGUAAGUUGGCUGGAAAAAAAAUGGAUGGGCGUUUAUGAGCUGUGCCUUUCCAAGCCAUGGCCCCAAGGACAAAGAGAAACUCAUAAUCGCACCUGCACUCCCUCAUGUUGGCCAGAGAAAGAACACACCCAGGCCUGGUCUGCAUGAGCCAGAAGGCACAUAUUUUCAGUCUUCUGAAAUGCAUUUUGAGACAGAAGUGCAAAUUUUCACCCUGCUUUGUUUGCCUCACUACUUUCCUCACCUCUUCCGUGCUUUCAGCCUGUGAUGUUUCAGAAAGGGAAAGAUUUCUUUGGAAAUUUCUUCAUCUUGUGUUUUCCCAGAGCUGGAAGGGGAUGGAAUAUGAGUGCGGACUGUUCCAGAUGAACAGAAGUAAACAUGAUGAGCUGAAGCCCAUUUGUAAUUUGAAAAAUGUCAUAUUAGCAAAGCUUCCCUUCUGUCCUCUGUCUUUUCUUGAAGCAACUUGUAUUUUCUACUGGAUUCUGGUAAAAGCUAACUUCUGUGCUGCACGUGAUGUUGACAAAAGAUAUCACUGAGCAGUACUAGGCCCCACAUCUACCUGCCUAUUAACACCAUUCCCAGUCCUACAACAGGUGAUGUCGAGAUGUAGAAUCUUACCCAUAGUAAUUUCUUCAUCCCUUGACAAAAUCUGUUUAGUUUUUAGGUGUGCACUUUUUUCAUCUCCUUUUUCCUAUCAAAACACACUUCAAAAUUCCAGCUGUAUUUUUAGAUUCUUUUAGACCCCCACAAUCUUCUAAACCAUUUUUCCUCACCAGGAGAGCACUGUUCCUGCUGGUGGAAGCUUUCUUUCAUGCAGCAUUCCAUAAGGCAUUCUGAAACCUUCAGGUAUUUCAGCUUUCUUAUAGGUCGUGACAUACAGUCCUAUUGAUGUAAACUGUCAGAACUCCCGUAGUCUGUAAGGUGCAUGCCUCCCUCUAACUAUUGCUGGUGCUGUGCACUAAUAGGUCAUCUAGCAGUACAAAUGUGUGUGUGUGAAGUAAAUCCUUUGGAAGGAGAUCCAAUUGGACAGCAAUGCAGGACGACUUUUAUGCCAUAUUAGCCAAAAUAUACGAGACAGAACUUACCACAUUGUGCUACAGCAUACUGCCUGGUACCUGGCUUGUUUGGUGUCAUGCACCUGCCCAUCAGCUGAGUGCUCUACACGAUGUUGGCUCUGUAGCAUUGCAAGGAUGUGUGUGGUAGAUCACGUGGAAGGAGAACCAGUUGUAGCCACUACCUGGGAAACUUGGGAGAAGCAUCAAGCCCAGUGUCAGUAUGUCAUUUACAUACUCCCACUGACCAGCCACUAAAAUGGUGAAAAAUGGGAAAAGCCAUUUUUAUCUCCUUGUUUUUCUGCCUGAUCAGCCUGGAGGAACAAGCAGCAACCAGUGGUAAAAGGCCUUCAUUUUGUUAUAUGAAAUUUUGUGCCCACUGCAGAAAUUCAGUUUGUCCUUUCUGUGCACGUAUCUGCUAAUCUGUUUCAGAGUUGUUGCCAACUGCAUCAGCCGGAGGAAGUCCAGUGGAAGGUGUAUGAAGUAGCUGGGGCAGGUUAGUACUCUGCCACACUAAGGCUGGGGAGCAAGCAUGGUGGGCACUCCUUGCCAAGAUGGCCAGGCUGGGGAGCUGUGGCUGUGGCACCAGUCUGGGAACAUAAGUACACAGACAAGAAGUGGUGGGAGUGGAGAGCCUGAGAGACUCUGCUUGGCACAGCGCCUGGCACUUGGCAGAACACCCAGAAACAGUCCAAGACAAAACAGAACCAUUCCAAAUCCCCAAAUCAAUGAAGGACCCACUAAGCAAAGCUUUUAUACCUGGAGUAGUGGCGUGCAUACUUUAUAGGGGCAUCUUCUUGUAGCUUCUGACUCAGAUAGUUGAGAAGUAUGGGGAGCAUCAUCCUGCUUCCUCGUAGUCACUUCUGUCAUGGUAUUCUUGUCUUCUUCCUUUCCAUGGAAAGAUUCAGAUCGUCCUUCAACUUUGGGAGUCCCAAAUGCUGCCCUGGAGGAUCCCUGUUUCCUGAAUUUAGGAAUUAUUUGUGCAUCUUAGUUUAAGAAGUGCUAAUCUUCCUCAUGCCGUGAAACAGAAUAAUCCAUUAUUGACAGUCCUCCUGUGAGCCUAGCUUAGAACCUGUGCUCUGUGUUGAUUCAAGUCCCUGAGGUCUCUAUGUGAGAUUUUGUGGCAAAUUGCAUCUUUCCUCAAAUUUCCUAACUGUCCCAAGCACGGGAAUUCCCUCCUCCCCAAAUCAAACAGCUCUUGUACCUCUGUCUCAUAGGAUGGUGGUGGAUUGUGUCUGAGGAAAAUUAUCUUUUAUCAGAAGGAUGAAGAAAAUCAUCAGAUUUGCAUUCUUCACCAGGAUCUACUGCUGUUUCAACCCUGCCUAUAACUUUGGGUCAGAUUUGAGUUGACCAGCAGAUAUCUCCUCGGGAACAUCCCUUAAAGGAAUUGUGCAAGUAUUUUAAGCCCAGCAGCUUUGGACAACAGCACACUAAAUUAGAUGAAGUUUUAGAGGAAGGUUUGAGAAUUAAGAAGCCGUGAACAGCUCCCAUUUUGCCUACUGGUAGGAAGCACUGAGGGAUCCAACACUUAUACAGGUAAAAAAUACAACUGAUGCACAUUUUAUUGAUAUAUUUGUGUGUUUGAGAUCUUAAAUCCUAAACCGGCAAGCAUUACAUGUGUAGGAACACACCAUGUAAGUUUCCCCUAGGGCAAGGCUGCCUUUUAAGGCUCACUAAGAGGAUCCAUCGCUAAACAUAGGGGGAUUUUUUGUUCCUCUGUUUGAGGGCUGAGGUGAACUACACCGAGGGACAUGCUGGUUGAUCUGAGGUGCUUCAGUUUCAGCUCUAGGAUGCCUGUUUCUCAGCACUUCGUUCUGUUUUCCCUAGCUCUUCUUUUUUUCUCCUAUCAUUUGCAUGUUUCCCUCUGCACACGCAGGGACCCACAGGUGCAGCCUGCGGCGGCUCAGCUGAUGCUUACUCCAUUUACAGAGAACUGAGCCUUUGUUUUUCCACUCGUCUGCUCUCACAGCGGAACAGAUCUCUAAAAUAAAGUAGGAUCUUAGAAAAAGCUGAAACAAAAGCUUUCCACCUAGGCAUAGGGAAACCUUAUGUAACUCCUUACGUAAUGGGAUGUGGAGUACUUUCUCAUGAUUAACUUCAGAGUCGCUCAGGCUCCCCUGGCUCCCAACCUGCCUCGUUUCCUCCCGGCUCUGGCGGGGAGAAAAGGGGCUUCCCAGCCCGAGCCCCGAGGGCAGUGCGCCUCGGCUGCUAUUUCUGAAAGCUGCUCCUCCGAUUUAUUGCCGUACGAGGAGAUAAAACAGGAGGGGAACGGCGCUUUCUUUUUACUCAGUCUCCUUUCCUAAAACACCUUACAAAAGCAGUAAGAGGAAGGGGCGCUGGGAAGCUCCCUGCUCUCUGGUCUACACCAGACGCGCACAGCCGUUAUUUCCUCCUCGCACAACCCACGUGCGGUUCGUUCUGGGGCCCAGCACGGCGCUUCAGCACGAGCCGUGCUUUCCCGUUGCCGCCGUGCAGGGACGGCCGCGGCCCCGGGCCCUUCCCUCGUGACCCCGUCCGCUCUGCGAGACUAUUCCGAUAGUCGCUGAGGCACUCCACUCUCGCCGCGGCACGGCUGCUGCGUGCUCCCGCCGCCCGUUCACGCACCGCACGGCUCUCCCGCGGCCCGGUCCCGGGUGCACGCACGGCAACGCUGACCGGCUAUGCCACGGGACGGCAUUCACGCCCGCCCCCCUACCGGCCGCUCCGUACCGACAUGCCCCACGCGGCCGGCCGGCGGCGGAAGCCGGAAGCGCGGCGGCGGAAGCGGGGCUCAGCUGGCGGGGGGGUGUCGCAGGUGAAGCUGGGAAGCGCGGAGCCAUCUUGGUGCCGGCGCCGGGCAGGGACUCGCAGCCGUCGCCGCGCCAGGACAGCGAACCGCCGCCGGGCCGGGCACGGGGGGGCGUCCGCGCGCGGGGCGCUGCCGGCCGUGGGCCCCGAGAGCCGCGGGCUCCGGCCCUGAGGGGAGAGGCACCGCGCCGCCCCUGCCCGCCCGCCCGCCGCCGGCCCCCAGCGCCGGGCUCUCCCCGCCCGCGCCCCCAUGAGGCCGGAGCCGCCGCCCGCCGCCCGCUCGCGCCGGUGACGAGCCGCCGGGAGGUCGCGCUGCCCCCGCCGCCGGCGCCCCGGCCCCGCCGAGCCCCCUCCUUCCGUCGGCGCUCGGGCUCACCGCCCCCGGGGGCGUUCCUGAGGUGCCGCGGGCGGGGGGAGGCCCGGUCCCGGCGGGGCUUUGCCCCGAGAGUGAGACAAGCACCAGCGCAGGGAGCCCCGGCCGGUGCGCGGCCGCUGCGGGUCCGAACGCGGGGCUGCCGGCGCCGGGAGCGCCGGGCUGUGACAGACGCGCACCUGCCCGGGCUGGAAGCACCUCUCCGCAUCCCGGCCGCCCCUCGGGGUCGGACACACUUUGUGGACAUAAGCAUUUUUUAAACUUUUUUUAAGAACUCGUUUUCUGGGAUUUUUACAAGCAACCCUUUAGUUUGCAUUGGUUUCCUGCUUCUCCCGCUUCAAGGUAGCGUUUGCUCUGUUCUUCCUGGUACCGGAGCACGGGGAUCUGAACGGAAUUGACAUUUUAAGUACUCCAGGAGCCCUCCAGUCCUUCCACCUGUUAAAGCGAGCAGCUCCGCUUCCUUCCUUCGUCUUUUUUCCCCGUGUUGCCUGUUGGAUGUGAUGGAACUCAUGUUUGCGGAGUGGGAGGACGGGGAGAGGUUCUCCUUCGAGGACUCGGAUCACUUUGAGGAGGACUCCCUUUGUUCCUUCAUCUCAGAGGCAGAAAGCCUUUGCCAGAACUGGAGAGGAUGGCGGAAGCAAUCGGCCGGACCCAAUUCUCCCACUGUCAAAAUGAAAGAUGGGCUGGUGAUCCCAUUGGUGGAACUGUCUGCAAAACAGGUUGCAUUUCACAUUCCGUUCGAGGUCGUGGAAAAAGUUUAUCCUCCAGUUCCUGAGCAACUACAGCUUCGGAUCGCCUUCUGGAGUUUCCCUGAAAAUGAGGAAGAUAUUAGAUUGUACUCAUGUUUGGCUAAUGGCAGUGCAGACGAGUUCCAGAGAGGGGAGCAGCUGUUCCGAGUGAGGGCAGUCAAAGACCCUCUCCAAAUAGGUUUCCAUCUGAGCGCCACUGUGGUACCCCCGCAGAUGAUGUCACCCAAAGGUGCAUACAAUGUGGCAGUGAUGUUUGACCGAUGCAGGAUCACAUCAUGCAGCUGUACCUGUGGAGCUGGGGCCAAGUGGUGUGCUCACGUCGUGGCACUCUGUCUCUUCCGGAUACACAAUGCAUCUGCGGUGUGCUUACGAGCGCCUGUUUCUGAGUCCUUGUCUCGACUACAAAGAGACCAAUUGCAAAAAUUUGCUCAGUACCUAAUCAGUGAACUUCCACAACAGAUUCUUCCAACUGCUCAGCGCUUGCUGGAUGAGCUAUUAUCUUCUCAGUCAACUGCAAUCAAUACAGUGUGUGGAGCCCCAGAUCCCACUGCUGGACCUUCUGCGUCAGAUCAAAGCACCUGGUACCUAGAUGAAUCUACCCUGAGUGACAACAUAAAGAAAACCCUUCAUAAAUUCUGUGGACCCUCUCCUGUUGUUUUCAGUGAUGUGAAUUCCAUGUAUCUCUCUUCCACGGAGCCGCCGGCUGCUGCUGAGUGGGCCUGCCUUCUGCGUCCCCUGCGAGGGAGAGAGCCUGAGGGAAUCUGGAACCUACUUUCUAUCGUGCGGGAGAUGUUUAAGAGACGGGAUAGCAAUGCUGCUCCUUUGCUAGAGAUUCUGACUGACCAGUGUCUGAACUAUGAGCAGAUAACUGGCUGGUGGUACAGCGUGCGGACAUCUGCGUCACACAGCAGUGCUAGCGGGCACACAGGACGCAGCAAUGGCCAGUCAGAAGUAGCUGCUCAUGCCUGUGCAAGUAUGUGUGACGAGAUGGUGGUUCUUUGGAGGCUGGCUGUCCUUGACCCAACUAUUAGUCCACAGAGGCGCAGGGACCUUUGUUCCCAGCUCAGGCAGUGGCAGCUAAAGGUCAUAGAUAACGUUAAGAGAGGUCAGCACAAGAAAUCCCUGGAGAAGCUAUUCCAGGGUUUCAAGCCAGCAGUGGAAGCCUGUUACUUCAACUGGGAGGAAGCUUAUCCUAUCCCUGGGAUCACCUAUAGCAGCACUGACAAGAAAAACUCAUUCUGUUGGGUGAAGGCCAUCCAACAGAGGAGCUGCCGGUUGCAGUGUGCAGAAACUGCUUGUGAGGCUGGUAGAGCCCAUGGACAGGAGCCUGGGGGACCAUGUCUGCAGCCUGGGGACAGGCUGCGUCCCUCACCCCAGGAGCCAGCGGUUCGUCCGAAGGAACUCACUGGAAAGCGGAAAGUUGUCUCUGAAACACCCCAGAGAGUUCUGAGACGACUUUCGGCAGAAGGUGAUAAAGCUGUGUAUAAGACUGCAGUGAGCAAAGCUAAGUUGCCAGUGAGCAAAGGUUUGACCAGUAAGCAUAGUGGGAAACGCCGCAUGAGCAGUGAAGACAGCUCCUUGGAGCCAGACUUAGCAGAGAUGAGCCUGGAUGACAGCAGCUUGGCUCUGGGUGCAGAAGCCAGCAAUACGUUCAGUUUUACAGAAAGCCCACUGAGCAGAAGCUACAGGGAUGCCUUUGAGGAGGAUGGUGGGGUGUACUUCUCUGAGGGACCUGAGCCCAGCGUCAGGAGCAGUUCCACAACCAAGAAAUCAACCAAGGAUCCUGUGGGGGAGAUGGGUAGCGGUGAUGACGACCUGACUUCUGCAGAUGAGAACAGCGGUGGUGUGAGCCUGAAGCCAGAAGAAGUAGGAGAGAAUGGUGCGGCAGGUGGAGGGGAUGACGGAGAAGAGGAAGAUGAUUACCAGGUAUACUAUCUGAAUCCACAAGAGGUAGCCAAGGAAGAUGAUGACAAAGCUGAAGGGGGAAAUGAAGAGGAGCAGGAUAUAUUUGCUGGAAUAAAGCCUCUGGAGCAGGAGAACCGGAUGGAGAUCCUGUUUGCCUGUGCAGAAGCCCUGUAUGCACAUGGAUACAGUAAUGAAGCAUGUCGCUUAACUGUAGAACUUGCCAGGGACCUAUUAGCCAACCCUCCAGAUCUCAAAGUGGAGCAGCCACCAACUAAGCAGGGCAAAAAGAACAAGGUAUCAACCAGCAAGCAAACGUGGAUGGCAACCAACACCUUGUCCAAAGCUGCUUUCCUGCUGACUGUAUUGAGUGAGCGGCUGGAGUACCACAACCUGGCCUUCCGAAUAGGGAUGUUUGCUCUGGAGCUGCAGAGACCGCCUGCCUCUACCAAGGCACUGGAGGUGAAGCUGGCGUAUCAGGAGUCUGAGAUCGCAGCCCUCUUGAAGAAGAUUCCCUUGGUCACCAAUGAGAUGAAUACUAUUCGAGGAAGAGCUGAAGAACUGCGAGAAGGAACGUUAUGUGAUUAUCGUCCUGUCCUGCCUCUCAUGUUGGCUAGCUUUAUAUUUGAUGUCCUGUGCACUCCAGUGGUUUCUCCUACAGGCUGUAGACCCCCAAGUCGUAAUUGGAAUAAUGAAAUGCCUGGAGAUGAAGAGCUUGGUUUUGAAGCAGCCGUUGCUGCUCUUGGCAUGAAGACAACUGUCAGUGAAGCAGAACAUCCUCUGUUGUGUGAAGGCACUCGAAGGGAGAAAGGAGAUCUGGCACUAGCCCUGAUGAUUACUUACAAGGAUGAUCAAUCGAAGCUGAAGAAGAUUUUAGACAAACUUCUGGACAGAGAGAGUCAGACUCACAAGCCACAGACUCUGAGUUCCUUCUACUCUUCCAGCAAGCCUACAGUAGCAAAUCAAAAGUCUCCUUCCAAACAUGCUGCCCAGUCUGCUGCAGCUAUCCAGCAGCUUCCAGGGACUUCAGUUGCUCAGCAAGCUGGCGUAAGCCCAGCAGUGCAGAGCAGUCCUGAGACCUUUGUGGAGAAGAGUUCACAGGAGUGCUCUCAGAGGUCCCCCUGUGAGCCAGCUGGGGAAUCCACUGUCUUGAAACAGGAGGGAAAGGUCCCCAGUCGUCUGGCCCUUGGAAACCGAGGUGGAUACAACGGGAGAUGCUGGGGUUCACCCGUCAGGCAGAAGAAGAAACACACAGGCAUGGCUAGUAUUGACAGCAGUGCUCCUGAAACUACCUCUGACAGUUCUCCAACGCUCAGUCGGCGUCCCCUACGUGGGGGAUGGGCAACAACAUCCUGGGGCAGAGGACAAGACAGCGACAGCAUCAGCAGUUCUUCAAGUGAUUCACUGGGAUCUUCCUCUUCCAGUGGCAGUAGGAGAGCCAGUGGGGGAGCCCGUGCAAAAACUGUGGAGGUUGGCAGGUAUAAAGGGAGGCGGCUGGAGAGCCAUGCUCCUCAUGUCCCGAACCAGCCUUCAGAGGCAGCUGCCCACUUCUACUUUGAAUUGGCCAAGACAGUCCUUAUCAAAGCAGGUGGAAACAGCAGUACCUCCAUCUUCACCCACCCUUCCUCCAGUGGUGGGCACCAGGGACCACACCGCAACCUUCACCUCUGCGCCUUUGAGAUUGGGCUGUAUGCACUAGGGCUGCACAACUUUGUGUCUCCCAACUGGCUCUCUCGAACUUACUCCUCUCAUGUCUCCUGGAUCACAGGGCAGGCCAUGGAGAUUGGUAGCGCAGCCCUGAACAUCUUAGUGGAGUGUUGGGAUGGACAUCUGACCCCCCCAGAGGUGGCAUCGCUGGCAGACAGAGCCUCGCGGGCCAGAGACUCCAACAUGGUGCGGGCAGCUGCUGAACUGGCACUCAGCUGCCUGCCCCACGCCCAUGCCCUGAACCCAAAUGAGAUCCAAAGGGCUCUGGUGCAGUGCAAGGAACAGGACAAUCUGAUGCUGGAAAAGGCCUGUAUGGCAGUAGAAGAGGCAGCCAAGGGAGGUGGCGUGUACCCAGAAGUUCUCUUUGAAGUAGCUCACCAGUGGUACUGGCUUUAUGAACAGAUUGUUGGUGGGACUCCAGCCCAGAGAGAAGGUGCCACUGGCUGCAGCGCCAGUGGUGCACGGGCUGCGUCAGAAGCAGCACGUGGGUUGACAGACAACCGGGUGACCACUGAGCCAACCACCGUAACAGUGGCAGCUGCAGUAACCGCAGCAGCAACGGUCAUGCCAGUCAUCUCUAUGGGGUCAACCAUGUACCAGCAGCAUACAAUGGCAGGACCGGCAAUGGCGCAUACACACACCCAGGGCCUCCACCCUUACACCACCCUUCAGACUCACAUUCCCUGUAAUCCCCAGUAUAUUGGACACACUAUCCAGCACAUGCCACGUCCAGCUGUCUUCCCAGUGCCAGGCUCAGCCUACCCACAGAGUGUCCAUCCAGCAUUCAUAGGAGCGCAGUACCCCUAUUCGGUAACAACACCGUCAUUGGCAGCUACAGCAGUGUCGUUCCCUGGUGUGCCAGUCCCAUCCAUGACGCAGAUAGCGGUGCAUCCCUACCACAGUGAAACUGGACUGUCACUGUCUUCCAAUGUAGCAAUAGGAAGUGUCCAUGCAGGAUCAACGUUCCCAGCGAUUCAGGGGGCUUCCUUGACAUCUCUGUCCUCACAGCCCAACUCCCUCGUUACAGGGGGGUUUCCUGCUGAGGAUGAGCAGCACAGUCAGCCUGUGAGCCCCCAGGGUCUGCACUACCUCCACUCUGCAUACCAAGUUGGGAUGCUGGCUCUGGAGAUGCUCGGCCGAAGAACUCAGAGCGAUCAUCCCAACAACUUCUCCCGCAGCCCACCCUACACAGAGGAUGUAAAAUGGCUCCUUGGGUUGGCUGCAAAGCUAGGUGUAAACUACGUGCAUCAGUUUUGUGUCGGUGCAGCCAAGGGAGUGCUGAACCCUUUUGUGCUUCAGGAUAUCAUAAUGGAAGCUCUACAGAGGCUCAACCCCGCGCAUGUGCACAACCACCUGCGCACCCCAGCCUUCCACCAGCUGGUGCAGAGGUGCCAGCAAGUCUACUUGCAGUACAUCCAUUACCGGCUGAUCCACCUUGCUCCAGCUGACUACGAUGACUUUGUGAAUGCCAUCCGCAGCGCCAGAAGCGCCUUCUGCCUGACUCCUGUGGGCAUGAUGCAGUUUAAUGAUAUUCUCCAGAACCUGAAGCGUGGCAAGCAGACAAAAGAUCUGUGGCAAAGGGUCUCUCUGGAAAUGACCACCUUCUCACCGUGACAGCAGAACAAUUAAGGGUAGAGAAGAGAGCAUCUUCUAGAAGGAAAGAAGCAGAUGGAAAUGGGCAAGAAAGCUGAAUGUUUUCAAUACCAGGACAGACCCUCUAAGAGUUGUCUUCUAGCAGCUGCGGGGGCCAAACAGAGGAAGAACCAGACAAUCUCACCUCAGAGUGACGUCGACUGAACAAGCAGCUCAGUGGUCUGAGGCACAGGGAAAUGCGUAGGACAUGUUCACCUACAACCAUCUUUCUUGCCUGUGAAGGUUUUCCUUUUGGAAGCCCUUUCCAGGAGUAUGAGACAGAAGAGCACUACCUGCCUUUGGACUUCAGCAUCUUUACAGCCAGUGAACAAUCAGAGUUGUCAUCUGAUGAAUAACGUGCCUAACAGUUCUCACCUGCUAUGCACACUUCCAGUUCUGAAGUGACCUGAUCUGGCUACUGUUAAAAUCACGGGCCCUUCUGAUACCUUUCUGAUGGCUCAGUUUCCUAUGCCAGAAAAAGAAAACAUUAAUACAUUACAAAACAAUUUUCAGGUCAUUAGGAGAGUGUCCCCUGGGAAGGAAAUGUGUGCUGCUCAGGAGGCUGUGGGCUCUGCUCACCCAGCUGUGCUCACCAUGAUUCCAUUAUGGAUGAAUCCACGUCGGUACCGGGCAGGUCGCAGGUGUGGGUAUUCCUCUGUGCUUGUUACUUGGAUGCUCCAAACAGAUUUCCAUGCCUCAUAGAGUUGUGUGUGGACAGGAUAAACCCCAGAAUGAUGGGGGGCUACAGCAUAGCCCAAGUCUGUGGGGAUCCCGUGCUCCUGGAAGCAGAAUAUGCAGCUUGAUCAGCCAAUAUUAUCCUUACUAAGGAUCAUUCAGCAACAAUUUCCAAACUGGAGCCAAGAGGACAGAGUAAGAAGAAAUCUCCCUGGACUGGGAAACUUGAGAUACUUCUUGCAUUAUGUAUCUAUAGAAAUAGAAAGGGCGAUUCUGUACCAACAAGAAUGUUCAGCACUUGGAACAGCUGCUACAAGAACAGUCUUGUAGCUUGCAGGUGUGACAAGUCAGAUUAAUUCAAAGCCUCAGGUCAGGCUCCUUGGUUACUACAAAUGAACUAAUCAAUGCUGUUAAGUCACACAUCUCACACCCACAACACCUAGGUCUGAGUCACUGGAGCAGGAAAACAAAAUUUCUUUAACUAACAUAGAAGGGAAGAAGACAACAGCUGGGGCCUGCCUUGAAGAUAGCAAUUCAAAGAAAAGCAGGCACAAAACUAGUGGUUGUUGAGGCUGAAGAUAUGGGGCCCAGAGCUAUACUAAAAUUACAAGAGAUAUCUGAAUUUCAUGGUUCUUAAUUCCACUACGUGGUUCUGGUAACAGUAUGAAUGAUGACAGCUCUGCCCUGGUGGUACACAAUAAAACCAGAGCCCCUAAAUGAAGCAACAGCUUUCCCUUUCCACUGCUAGCUUGUUUUAUGUUAAAUAUGUAUAAUUGUGUUCUGUGCUUUUUCUCUCUUUGCAAGAGACUACAAUGUUACUUAAGCAUGAAAAGAAGGAGAUUAAAUUGUUUCUAUAAAGCUGCAACUGUACUCUGAAUUCAGGAUCAUUCCAACUCUGCAUGUGUCAUGGGAACAUGAGACAGCAGCUUGCUAUUCCCAAGGGGAUUACUAUCAACAGAACCAAACUAGGGGUGAAAAGGACACAUCUUUUCAGACAAACACACACACUAUAUUCAACUCUGCUGUAAGCAUGAAGCAGACGUUGCCUAUGUAAUGCAAGAUGUGCAAGGCUUCCCUCCUCUGCCAAAAUCAGGGAUUUUCCCCUGGACUUCCUAGAUAAAAGACUCCCUCCAGCAUUGUCUGAGGAGGCCAGAGCCAGGACACAGAGCAUUUUAUACUACUGAGUAGAUAACUUCCUACAAAACCACUGUGAUUAAGGAUUGAACAGGAAAUGCCUUCUCACUGCCAGUUUAUACAAUAAUUGGAUUUGGAAGGUAAUGCUACAACAAGUUCACACCUCAGCAAACUAGAGCCCUGGGAUUUGCACCCUGGAAUGUGUCGGAGCUGCCUGGGGCCAUGCAGGUGCCAGGAAACACUGCACAGGCAGGCAUGCGAAUUCUGUUUCUUGCCUGAAGACAGCAGGAGGUAUGCACCAAUUUAAACUUUCAGGGCUCACUUUCUUAAAUGCUGCUGUGUUACUUGACUAGUAUUUGUCUUUGGCAGGGUCUGAACAGCUAUUCCAGGGGAAGAAUGCUUUAGGAUUAGUACUGUAAAGGAAUGUGAUGCCCCUUACCACAGCAAACUGUUUGUUGAGCUUCAUCUGCUCAGCCAGCACAGUGACAUUGUGGAAAAGAUGAGGCUGCAUGUGACUCCACAUAUGAGGGAACCACCAGAACUCCUUCCUAUGCUUGAGUAGCAUGUCAUCGCCUUCAUCUUCCUCAUCUGUACCUACAGAGAGCAGACACAGACACGCAAAAACACAAAGCAGAAGAAGGACUUGAUGUUUCUAAGCAGUGGCUAAUCUCCUGCAAUGGUAAGUUGUUCCAACAGAGGAUCAAGCUCUGUCUAAUGUGUUACACAGACAUGCACACGCACAAAGAGUAAGGCAGGGAGCUGGCAAAAGUUGCGAGUGGUAGAAGAGAUGCAUCACUUCUGCCAAGAGCCACAACAGAACUGUACAUUGUCAGGGUGCCAUGAAGCUCCCGCAAACAUGUGGGCCGUAUGCAGGCGCUGGGACAAAGGGGUGCCAGAGGCUUACCUGUGUGGUAGAAUUUCCCUGAGAAGCCCAGGUUGAAGGUGAAAUUUGGGACUAAAGUUCUCAGCUUAUUCUGGGUGCUCAGUAAAGCCUGUUUGAAUGAAAGGAAAAAGAAAUGUUCAUACUCAGUUGUUUUGUAAGAUUCCUCUGUUCUGCUGAUGCCGGUUCAGUCUGAAGAGGUGCCACAGGAGAUGGAUCCAAGGCACUGUUACCUGUGGAGUGAGGUAGCCAAGGGUUCCACAUAUAGAGCCUUUAUGUGAAGUACUAUCCUGCCUUAUUGAACGAUGUCACUUUAAAAAUACAGUCACAUCCAUCUCUCAUACAUCCUCUCGACCUCACUGUAAAGUACCCACAGUGCUUGUGCUAAGGCAAAAGGACAAAUCUCACUUCUAAACAACAGGUCCCUUAGUCUUCCCAGGCUCAACCCUCAACGCUCCCUUCCCCUCCCACGUCAGCUGGGACUUUUCACCUUCCUCUGAGUCUAUGGGUUAAAGAAAAGCAAGACAGAGCUGGACAUGGUGCACAGUCUGAGGAAAAGAAUUCAGCUGUAUCACAAACAGAAACCGAGUGUUCCAAGGGGAGGAUUCAAAGAGGAAAGGUACAUUCACAGAAAUAACCACAUAAGGAGUCCUGCAAUGACAGGGAGGUAUCUCUGGCUGGAAAAUUCCCUGGAUUUUGGAAAGAAAACCUGGGUGAGCUGACAUUCAGUCAUGAUUUCUCCUACAAGUUCUCUCUGCCUUGCCUGUCAGCUUUAAACGUCCAAAAUAAGUGCUGAAGCCAAAGGGAAGGAGCCUUGUGCCACACCCCAAGGUUCAGCAGAACAGGGUAAGAUAGCAGAUAGUCUUGACAGAAAAACAAAGCUGCUCAGUAAGCCAUGAGCAAGAUGUACACUAACUCCAGUCAAAUUUCUUCUGUUACAAAACAGUGAAAAUCAAAGCCCUGAAAUGACCUUUAACACCAGUCUUGGGAUAAAUGCAAAUGUACACACACAUAACACUGGAGAAGUCAUACAGACUUCUUGGAACUGAGGAGAUGGGCAGAUCUUCCUUCACCAGCUGUCCUUCCCUUGCCUUAAGGGGCACAGAGGAGUACAACAAGGCUGCCUUUGCAUGCCUCCUGCUGUAUAGGCAUUGUUUAGGCACACUGCCCCUUAGGUACUGGAAAGUGCUUUGACAAAUGCCAACUCUGCAGAGGAACUCACUUUGUCACACACCACUGAAGGGUAUCCUGAAUGAGUCACUGCUGUUACUAAUAUUUCAAAAUAGUGUUGACCAAACACUGACCGUCACAUUAACUUAAAGACAAUGACUUAAGUAACACAACCACCCAUCUCUUUUAUAUGCAUCUUGGAGAGAGGUGAUUAGUGGACUAAACGGAGUCUUUCUUAUCCGGAGACAAGCAGCCCACGACCCAUCCAUCUCACACAUGGCAAGGUGGAAAGAACAGACAAUUUAUUUCUAUAGUGCUAAUGACACACCCCAUGCUUUCCAAUGGCCUAAAAUAACAAAGCUUUCAGACUUCUCCCUAGAGAAACACUUAACUGCUUGUCCCCCAUCUCCACAUACACAUACAACAGCAAGAACAAAUGCCAGCCUAGGACAAAUUUCUAACAGAGAUCCCAACUCCUCCAUGACCACAUGCCUACCACACCUUUAUCCCAGCUCCCACUCAAAGGUGGAGUUCUGAGAGAUGUUUGGCACACGACAUCUCCAGAACCCACCACACAUACAAGUAGGGCUUAACAAGGUGACGUGCCGGUAGCACUGAUGGCUGAAGCCUUUUUUGCUGCACAAGGUCCUGAAUAGGCAACGGGAAAUCAAGUUCCCUUCACAUAAGGCACAGGGACUUAUCCCGUAGCAGGGAGCAGUGACUAAGAGCUGUGCAUCUCUCUCCAGAGAAUAGCCUGCUUGCCCAGCCAGAUGACACCACCACUCCCAGCAUGGAAUCAGCACUUGGAACACUUAGGUAGGAAAGUGCCACUUCCUCAUAUUUCCCCCAGAGCUGUCCCAUGCCUUUCCACUUCUCUCUGUUGCCCCGAAAGGCACAUGUACUUCCUCAAGCUUGAGUGGGAAGGUAGAGGGAGGAAAGACAGCAGCUAAGAGGCUUAGCAUUUCUCUGUGCUGAGGGAGAUUUAAAGCCUGGCUGGGGUUACCAUGACGACACAUCUGUCUGAUGAUAAAUCCCCCAAAGCUGUGCUCCAGCAGGCAGCAAUCCUUUGUGGCUGGGGAGGGACCCACGGAGAGUCCAUGGGGGCCCCAGCAAUUCUGAGACUGAGGAGCCCCGCAGAGUCUAGCAGAGCCCUGCCUUCUUGGAGGCUUUAUUGCUCAUCAUGUGCCAUCCCUGCACUGAUGCUUGGUCUUUCUCACAGCUGUAAGGUGGCACAAGGUAUGUCUGAAUAAAUACCUUUCACCUGCACAGGAUCAAAGAGAGUAAGAUGCCAAGCAAAAUACUUGGAGAUUCAUUAAAAAAAACCUAUCAUUCACUGUUCCCUAGCAUAUGGAUUCCAAGUGAUCCAUGAGCUGCAGUGAUGCAAAACAAUACAGCUGUGGGAGUGGGCUGGAAAGGUGGUGUUUCUCUCCUCUGACACUCCUGCACUCUGUUUCUCUUUUACUUAACUAGCCGGAUGCAAACAGAUCUUCAAGUCCAUAUUUAAGGAAUUUCAUGGGAUGCAGAGCUUGUAUUUUAGCUGUUCACCAUCUGUAUAAAGGAAAGUUUCUUCCCUUAGAAAAUCACUCUUGACAAAUUUCUAUUUUCUAACUGAAUUCCUUUCCAAAAAUCCUUCCAAGACAUAUGCCUGCCUACUAGCCAGCCCUAAAGGCCCCUUCGCUAUCUCUGCUCUCUACUAGAAUCUCAGCAAGGCUCAUCCCAGAAGGAAAAGAUGCGGUGUCCAAGAGAACCCAGCAAAGUGCUGCCCAAGAGAGCUCAGAAUGACUUCAUGCUUGUUAUAGUCCAUCAAGAGUCUAUCACCUAGGCAUCACAUUAAUACAGAACUCAACUUUCACAUCACUCUGCUUUUUUAGCUAUGAAUAUACAUCUUUUUUAAUCUUCUAAUUAUCUCUUCUAUUUCAGGUAUCUCUAAAAAAGCAGCAAAAGAAAUGUGGGAAACACGGUUGAAAGGUGGACGCUAGGAUGAGAGGAUACCAUAAGGUUUGGCAAACAGUACAUGGGCAGAUGAUAAAGAACAUCGUAAAUACUUAAAGUAUAUAAAGUAUAUAUAAGUAUACUGGGAACAUCCAAAGCAAAGCAUACAAAGCAUUGCUGCAGAAACACCUUCAGAGGAACUGCCCAUCACAGAGCAGCACAUUCUCAAAAGGAUCUUCCUCAGUUUUCUCAUUGCCUGGUGGUACCACUGGCAUAGCUCAAAAUGGUGCUGUCAAAAGAGAAAGCACUCACAGUGCUGGUAUUCCCAGCUCCCCUGCAAUGCCAGAAUCAGGGAGUUAGAAUUGCUGGGUAUUCUGAUUUCACCUAAGAUCAUCAUAUGCAAUUUAGAAAGGCAAGAGCUGAUUGAAAGCUGUCCUUACUAGACUCUCUUCCACUCUCACCAUUCAAUAACCCAAACUCCCUGAUUUUCAUUUAACUUGCUCUUGGAAUCAGGAGCAGUGAUUGCUUGCUAUUUAUGCCCUUGUAGAGAUUACCACCAGAGAGGCAAAAACUCAUCUGCUUAAUCUUCUUUCCUCAUACCUAAAGCAGACCAGGAAGGAUCACAAAAGCCAGAUCCUUCUGCAUUAGUCUUUGUUGGCCAGUUCCAUGGAGGUUUGGUAAAUUCAGAGGAUUAGGAUUUUACAAGGGACUGAAUGUGGACUUGUUGAUAAGAGGAAGGAUUCUCUGAGAUUUUGCUUUGUUAAUUAUGUGCAGUUCAAUCCCUGGUAAACUUUACAAGGGAAAAACAUUUUCCUUGAGCAGCUCCCAAGUGCUUUGCUUCAGUAGAGGACUGCAAGUUCUUGCUCCAGCCCUUCAGCAGGAACAGGAACUCAAGGGGUGAGCAUCUUUAAAGUAAAAACAAACAAGUUUCCUUUUUUUCUUUUUCUUUUUAAAGAUAAAAAGCUAACCAGUCCUCUAAACAUCACAAAUAAAAACAUCUCUCAUCUCAUGCAGGACAUCUACCAUAGGCACGCAUGCAGUCAAUCAAAUCAUAUCCAGCAUUUCCUUUUAAUAGUAAUUUUGUCUGGAAAGCCGUUUGAACAUGGACCUGCAUAUGGCAAACGAGCUCACUGGGAUAGCAGAGUCAAUUUUAUACGUUCACACAACAUCCAGUCUUCAAACCGCUACCCCGACUACUGUAAUCUAAAUUUCAAGAUAAGGAACUGCGUGUUGAGAUAGCAGCCUUGAAACACAGCUUUUAUAUAAAAGGCCAAAUAAAAUGCCAGCUGUUUUGUCACUAUUAUAUUCCCCUCUCCCCACAGCGAGAGGCUAUCAACAAAUCCACGUUGUUAUUUCUCGCUUUUAAAAAAUAAAAAUUCAUUAACCUCUCA